Non-coding RNA from Solanum lycopersicum (tomato), 923 nucleotides. Lineage: Eukaryota; Viridiplantae; Streptophyta; Magnoliopsida; Solanales; Solanaceae. The record is from RefSeq and is a predicted model, not a curated record.
AAGACUAAUUAACAAAUAAUAUAGUUAUAUAUAAACAAACUUAAGAAGUGUAAGGUUUUUUCUGCUCUAUAAAAGUUUCAAUCUCCAUUCUUUAGCCCUCAAAAUCCUAUAUUUCACUUAGUCGUCACUCUCCUUUUCUUUAGUAUGUGAAUGACCUUCAUGAGCCUGUCGUUGUUACUCGAAUGGCAUUAAGUGAUAAAUACUUUCAAGGAUGUAUUUGUAGAUGACUUGCAAAUUGGAUCCUAGUAAGAACAAACAUAUUCAUUAGUUCAAAGAUAUCUUUCAGCAUGUUAGAAAAAAACUUGAAGUGUUAUGGAGCUUCAAAGUCUAAAUAGAGGAAUGAGGAAUGUGAUCAAGAUUGAGUUUGAGAUUCAAGAGUCAAAUGCACAUACAAAAUAUCAAGAAAAUUGUGACAGUUCUACAAAAAGUCGCAUGCGGCGUGAUCAUGAUACCAGGCUUGUGCUAUAUCAAGAGGAAAACAUGGAUCAAGGCUAAAAAGGGAGUUACCUGUGUCAACCGUGGCCACACUACCCAUCCAGGUUCGUGUGGUAUUUAUGAAAAAUGAGAAAUAAUCUUAAGAGUGGGAAGAAAUUGUCUUACAAUAUUCUUGUUUUUAAGGUGAGCUCAUGUAUCUAAAGACUAGUAAAAAUCACUUAUCCUAUGAAUUGAGUACUUACCAACUGGCCAAACAUGGUGGUUUGUCUUCAACACGAUAAACCUAAGUUUUUCUUUUUAGCUGACACAUGGAAAUCACCUGACGGCAAGUGUUUAAAUGUAAGACAAUCCGAACAAGAGUUCCUAUGGUUAUUGUCCAAGUAAUCGUAAAAGAGAUCUUAUAUAUGCUCAAAGUGAGAAAAUUCAUGAGAACAACAAGUAUUGAGGAAGAAGCAAUUGCAAUCAAAAAUGUCAUUUAUCAUUGUGUU